RNAcentral lists this ribosomal RNA (253 nucleotides) under uncultured bacterium. Its description in RNAcentral is "partial 16S ribosomal RNA". It matches the Rfam family "Bacterial small subunit ribosomal RNA", at positions 524 to 776 of the family's 1533-position model. The record is from RNAcentral.
UACGUAGGUGGCAAGCGUUAUCCGGAAUUAUUGGGCGUAAAGCGCGCGCAGGCGGUUUCUUAAGUCUGAUGUGAAAGCCCACGGCUCAACCGUGGAGGGUCAUUGGAAACUGGGGGACUUGAGUGCAGGAGAGAAGAGUGGAAUUCCACGUGUAGCGGUGAAAUGCGUAGAGAUGUGGAGGAACACCAGUGGCGAAGGCGACUCUUUGGCCUGUAACUGACGCUGAGGCGCGAAAGCGUGGGGAGCAAACAGG